Molecule: ribosomal RNA, 468 nt
Filed under: uncultured bacterium
Lineage: Bacteria
Description: bacterial SSU rRNA
Rfam family: Bacterial small subunit ribosomal RNA
Source: RNAcentral
AGACGUCUACGUAGUUUGAUCCUGGCUCAGAUUGAACGCUGGCGGCAUGGCUAAUGCAUGCAAGUCGAAGAAAGCCCUUCGGGGCGAAAGUGGCGAAAGGGGCGAGUAAUACGAUCGAACGUACCCCCAAGGUGGAGGAUAGUGUCGGGAAACUGACGGUAAUACUCCAUGUGCUCUUCGGAGGAAAGCUUUGGCGCCUCGGGAGCGGCGAUCGUCCUAUCAGGUAGUUGGUGAGGUAAUGGCUCACCAAGCCGAAGACGGGUAGCGGGUGUGAGAGCAUGACCCGCCGCAUCGGGACUGAGACACUGCCCGGACUCCUACGGGAGGCUGCAGCGACGAAUCUUCCGCAAUGGGCGCAAGCCUGACGGAGCAAUGCCGCGUGUGGGACGAAGCGUCUUCGACGUGUAAACCACUGUCAGAAUCUAGGAACACUGACCAGAUUCAAAGGAAGGGCCGGCUAACCUCGUG